RNAcentral lists this transfer RNA (82 nucleotides) under Patiria miniata (bat star). RNAcentral describes it as "tRNA-Leu". It matches the Rfam family "tRNA". From Rfam's summary of the family: Transfer RNA (tRNA) molecules are approximately 80 nucleotides in length. Their secondary structure includes four short double-helical elements and three loops (D, anti-codon, and T loops). Further hydrogen bonds mediate the characteristic L-shaped molecular structure. tRNAs have two regions of fundamental functional importance: the anti-codon, which is responsible for specific mRNA codon recognition, and the 3' end, to which the tRNAs corresponding amino acid is attached (by aminoacyl-tRNA synthetases). tRNAs cope with the degeneracy of the genetic code in two manners: having more than one tRNA (with a specific anti-codon) for a particular amino acid; and 'wobble' base-pairing, i.e. permitting non-standard base-pairing at the 3rd anti-codon position. The record is from Rfam by way of RNAcentral. Lineage: Eukaryota; Metazoa; Echinodermata; Asteroidea; Valvatida; Asterinidae.
GGUAGCGUGGCCGAGCGGUCUAAGGCGCUGGUUUUAGGCACCAGUCAUUUCGAUGACGUGGGUUCGAAUCCCACCGCUGCCA